GUGAAUCAUCAAAUUUUUGAACGCAAAUUGCACUCUCUUCGGAGAGUAUGCCUGUUUGAGGGUCAGUAUAAAUAAAAAUCGGUUUGUUGCUUCUUUGUGGCGCUCCGGGGUUUGGAUCAUCUUAAUAUCCUUUAGGUUUUAAGAUGCUUAAAAUUAACUUUUUUUUCGCGUUUUAGGUGUACAUAAAUGCUUUUUUUUAUUCUUCUUUCUUGGUACUCACAAUCCUAUUAGAUGCGACCAUAUCGUGUUGGUUCGUGUCUAUAAAUUUUUCAUGAUUUGACAUCAAAUCGGGUAGAAGUC
Molecule: unclassified non-coding RNA, 300 nt
Filed under: Glomeraceae sp.
Lineage: Eukaryota; Fungi; Glomeromycota; Glomeromycetes; Glomerales; Glomeraceae
Description: partial contains 5.8S ribosomal RNA and internal transcribed spacer 2
Rfam family: 5.8S ribosomal RNA (bases 1-65)
Source: RNAcentral